This 567-nucleotide long non-coding RNA is filed under the name Phoenix dactylifera (date palm). RNAcentral's name for it is "long non-coding RNA (PDAC_LNC021512)". Lineage: Eukaryota; Viridiplantae; Streptophyta; Magnoliopsida; Arecales; Arecaceae. The record is from RNAcentral.
AAUAAAACAUACCAUAUUCAGAUGCCUCCAGAGGAAACAAAAAUGGCUGACUGAAUAAACUUCAUUAACUAACAAACAUGUUGUGAGCAGCCAAAUGUAUUUGUAAUGUAACAGAUUUUUCAUGCUACUAUAUAUAUCCACUUGAUGAAGAAAUCAUUAUUAACCUCUUUCCGGUGGUCUCUUGUGACCAGUUUCUCUUCUUCAAAAAAUCGUAAAGUGCGGCGAAGUUGUUUCGAAUGCAGCUUCAAAGCCUUUGCCAGAUCUUCCUCUCUAACCCAUUGGCGCCUGAAAAAUGAAGUGUCAAAAUCGAAACCGACUUUGUGGCUUAAAAAUGAAAAGGAUGGCAGUUUACCAUAGAUAGCCUCUUUGGCAUAACUAGCAGUUUUGUUAGGCCUUACCUAGGAGAUAUUCCAUCUGCCAGAAACUAAACUACAAGCAGAUAAGUGGCAAACUAAUGAUCAUAGAAUUAUCAUGUUUCCCCUUGAUGAGUUAAGGAGACUAAAUCAUUUGAUGAUCAAAGGUAGCGCUGCAAAUGAACCAGCAUGUAGAUGAGUAGCUUAGACAGAG